GUGGGGUGCCUGAGAAUAUGCAGUGCUGUUGGUCCCACUGGUCCGAGGCCCACGCUUUGAGUAGCAAGACACUGAAUGAUAGAAAUGGAACCAGUUGGCCAAUGAGGAGCAGUGAUGUGAUGGCCAAAUGGUCCCUAUGCUUAGAUAUCUGAGCAGAGUGCCAAGGGAAGGCAGAGUUGCAGCAAAAAACGGGAGGAAGCAUCAACUUGCUUAGCAUACAAGAUACGUUUGAAGGUUGAGGAGACAUGACAGCAUUCUCAUGGAGAAAUAACUGAUGAUGACUUUUUCCGACGGCCGAUUUAUUCCUGGCCUGGGCAUGGAUGAGUUGCCUGCAGCUGAAGCAGCCAUCUUGUGUCCCAAGACAAAGCCCGCGAGAAUAAUAGAGGUUGGCCCAGAAAUCAUUAAAAUCCAUGUCGGCA
Long non-coding RNA from Felis catus (domestic cat), 419 nucleotides. RefSeq lists it as uncharacterized. The record is from RefSeq and is a predicted model, not a curated record. Lineage: Eukaryota; Metazoa; Chordata; Mammalia; Carnivora; Felidae. The transcript has 3 exons.